UUGCAAUGAUGAAGGUUCCAAAACCAUUCGUAGUUUCCACCAGAGGUUGAAAAACAACCAAUGUUGGCUUAAAUUACCUUCCUUGGAUGUCUGAGCGA
RNAcentral lists this small nucleolar RNA (98 nucleotides) under Laticauda laticaudata (blue-ringed sea krait). RNAcentral's name for it is "Small nucleolar RNA SNORD14 (ENSLLTG00000015492.1)". It matches the Rfam family "Small nucleolar RNA SNORD14". Rfam says of the family: U14 small nucleolar RNA (U14 snoRNA) is required for early cleavages of eukaryotic precursor rRNAs. In yeasts, this molecule possess a stem-loop region (known as the Y-domain) which is essential for function. Lineage: Eukaryota; Metazoa; Chordata; Lepidosauria; Squamata; Elapidae. The record is from Rfam by way of RNAcentral.